CAGUCGCCGCGGUAAAACGUAGGGUGCGAGCGUUAAUCGGAAUUACUGGGCGUAAAGCGUGCGCAGGCGGUUUUGUAAGACAGGCGUGAAAUCCCCGGGCUCAACCUGGGAAUGGCGCUUGUGACUGCAAAGCUAGAGUGCGGCAGAGGGGGAUGGAAUUCCGCGUGUAGCAGUGAAAUGCGUAGAUAUGCGGAGGAACACCGAUGGCGAAGGCAAUCCCCUGGGCCUGCACUGACGCUCAUGCACGAAAGCGUGGGGAGCAAACAGGAUUAGAUACCCCCGUAGUCCCUGUCCCUUAUAC
RNAcentral lists this ribosomal RNA (301 nucleotides) under uncultured bacterium. RNAcentral's name for it is "partial 16S ribosomal RNA". It matches the Rfam family "Bacterial small subunit ribosomal RNA", at positions 509 to 807 of the family's 1533-position model. The record is from RNAcentral.